GCUGGGUUUUUGGCUCAGUGGUAGAGUGGCUUGCUUGGCAUGCAUCAGGCACUGGGUUCAAUCCUCAGCACUGCA
RNAcentral lists this transfer RNA (75 nucleotides) under Marmota monax (woodchuck). Its description in RNAcentral is "tRNA.Ala". The record is from RNAcentral. Lineage: Eukaryota; Metazoa; Chordata; Mammalia; Rodentia; Sciuridae.